GAUGAACGCUGGCGGCGUGCCUAAUACAUGCAAGUCGAGCGAACAGACGAGGAGCUUGCUCCUCUGACGUUAGCGGCGGACGGGUGAGUAACACGUGGAUAACCUACCUAUAAGACUGGGAUAACUUCGGGAAACCGGAGCUAAUACCGGAUAAUAUAUUGAACCGCAUGGUUCAAUAGUGAAAGACGGUUUUGCUGUCACUUAUAGAUGGAUCCGCGCCGCAUUAGCUAGUUGGUAAGGUAACGGCUUACCAAGGCAACGAUGCGUAGCCGACCUGGGAGGGUGAUCGGCCACACUGGAACUGGGACACGGUCCAGACUCCUACGGGAGGCAGCAGUAGGGAAUCUUCCGCAAUGGGCGAAAGCCUGACGGAGCAACGCCGCGUGAGUGAUGAAGGUCUUCGGAUCGUAAAACUCUGUUAUUAGGGAAGAACAAAUGUGUAAGUAACUAUGCACGUCUUGACGGUACCUAAUCAGAAAGCCACGGCUAACUACGUG
This 497-nucleotide ribosomal RNA is filed under the name uncultured bacterium. RNAcentral's name for it is "partial 16S ribosomal RNA". It matches the Rfam family "Bacterial small subunit ribosomal RNA", at positions 28 to 507 of the family's 1533-position model. The record is from RNAcentral.